CCGCCCAUAGCUCAGCUGGUAGAGCAGGGGACUCUUAAUCCCAAGGUCGCAGGUUCGAAUCCUGCUGGGCGGA
RNAcentral lists this transfer RNA (73 nucleotides) under bacterium. Its description in RNAcentral is "tRNA-Lys". It matches the Rfam family "tRNA". Rfam says of the family: Transfer RNA (tRNA) molecules are approximately 80 nucleotides in length. Their secondary structure includes four short double-helical elements and three loops (D, anti-codon, and T loops). Further hydrogen bonds mediate the characteristic L-shaped molecular structure. tRNAs have two regions of fundamental functional importance: the anti-codon, which is responsible for specific mRNA codon recognition, and the 3' end, to which the tRNAs corresponding amino acid is attached (by aminoacyl-tRNA synthetases). tRNAs cope with the degeneracy of the genetic code in two manners: having more than one tRNA (with a specific anti-codon) for a particular amino acid; and 'wobble' base-pairing, i.e. permitting non-standard base-pairing at the 3rd anti-codon position. The record is from RNAcentral.